AGCGGCCGCCUCUUACGCGCGCCCCACCGGCCAAAAUGGCGGCGGCCUUUGGCGGGGAUUCCGGUUUGUAAGGGCCGUUGUUUUACUCUUCCCGUGACAAAAUGUGAAAGAAGUGACUGGUGGAGGGGGGUCGCAAGUCAUGAGUCGACGAAGGAAAUAUGGGGACAGUCCUGCCCCGAAGAACACGCCGCUCAAAACAGCGGCGGCUGAGGACUGCGGCUCGGUGGUCGAACCCAGGAGGAGGCGGCUGAAGUCGGCCCGCGGCUCCCGGUCCCGCGUGGCUGGAGAGGGCCCUGGCCCACCAGUGCGGCAGCGAGAGCAGCGUCCAGCAGCCGCUGGGUGCAGUAAAAGUACCCCCAAGGAAAGAUAUGAGACACCAACAAGAAUGCUGAAAAUGGACUUGUCUUCUACAUUCAGUUCUCCUAAUGAUCCAGAUGGACAGAAUGAUAUCUUUUGGGAUCAGAAUUCUCCAAUGACAAAACAGUUAGGUAAAGGAAGAAAAAAACAGAUUUACACCACAGAUAGUGAUGAGAUUUCACAUAUUGUUAAUCGAAUUGCUCCUCAGGAUGAAAAACCAACAGCAAACUCCAUGUUGGGCGUGUGGAUUGGUGCAAGUGCUAUUCCUUGUACUCCCAGUGUAGCAAAAGGAAAAUCAAGAGUAAAAUUCAGCUGUACAAAGCUCAAAACACAAAAUCGAGAAAAAGAACUUAUGAAAUUGGCUAAACAAUUUGAUAAAAAUAUGGAAGAAUUAGAUGUAAUUCAAGAACAAAACAAAAGGAAUCAUGAUUUUAUGCAGACAAUUUCAGGAACAGAGACUUUAAAUAAUUAUAAAGAUAAUGAACAGAUGCAGUUAUUAUGUGAUAUAAUUCCUGAAAUCAAUAAUGCUAUAAUAAAGAAGCCACUGAAAGUAAACACCAGGAUAUCUGUGGUAGAAAAUCAAAACAGCAGUCAGAAGUCAGUUGACGAAAAUGCUGAAGCAGACUUUAAUGCCAUUUUUGAUGGUUCUACCCAGAAAUGUAGUGGACGGUUAAGCCAAGACUUGUCAGAUGCCAGUUUGAAUACAAGUAAUACUAUGGUUGGAAAGAAAAGUGCUUUGAAAGCGGAGAAAGUCAUUACUAUUGAAACUCUGGUCAAUGAAAAGCUGCCAAAUAAAAGCACAGGAUCACUUUCUGAACUAGAUACUCCCAUAACAACAAAAUCAUGUGUGACUACCUGUUUCAUGGAGCCAGAAACUUCUAGUGAGCACAUUGAUGCAUUUACUACCAGUGAUUUUGAAGAUGAUUGGGGAAGCUUACUAGAUAAUGAACCUUUUGUUAUGCAAAAUCUUGAAAGGCCUGAAUUCCCUGUUCUAAAAAGUGCCCAGGUUACUAAUCAAAAGGAAGUUUGUGUCUUUAUUAGUAAAAAUAGUAAAAGUAAGUCAAGAACCAAUACAGGUAUACAUGAUCUGUUAAGAGAUUCAAAAAUAUUGCAAAACCUUCCUUCCAAGACACAUAGUGGAGAAUUAAUAGAUUCUGGAAAACAUAGAGUUUCACCAGAUCUAAAUGUUAAAUCAAGCAAAUUGCCAUCCACUGGAAAUAAAAUGAAAUUUGAAAACUCUUUCAAUGAAACUGUUGUUGAAGACAAAUUUCAAGAUUGUACAGUUACAUGUAAUCUGACAAAAGUAAAGGAAGAUAGUGAUACUAAAUUUACUUCUAAUGUCAAUCCCUCUGAAAAGAAAUUUGCUUUAAAUAGAAGAUACUCUAAUGAACAAGAAACCAGCAUUACUAACACACAUCAAGCUAAUGCAUCAAAGAUUGUUUCUUUCUUUGAUGACUGGAAUGAUCCAUCAUUUGCCAAUGAAAUUAUUAAGACAUGUCAUCAAUUGGAGAAUACCUGGGAAUCAGAUGAUGUAGAUGAUGAUAUGUUAUACCAAGCAUGUGAUGAUAUUGAAAGACUAACUCAGCAGCAAGAUAUUAGGAAGAAUAGCAAGACAACAGAAAGUAUACUUGAGAUCAAUAACAGUUCUAAACAUGGAACCAGAAACUGCUUUAGUACAUCUAAAGGAAAUCAGGUGGUACAAUCAAAGCAUUUAAAUCUGGGCAGCAUUUCAUUGCAAACAUCUUCCUUGACAAGUAGCUCACAGAUAAAUAAAUCAAUAAAGGUGGACAGAGGGGAAAUGUAUAGAAAUUCUCCAAGUUUUUUAAACAUCACAACAAAUUUGACAAUGAACUCAAAUCUUCAGACAAGUAAUUUGCGUGUCUCUGGGAAUAACACUGCUGUACCAAUACCAAUGAAUAGUUUCAAAUCAGUUUUACCCAGAAGUUCAACACUGAAUGUGAUUUCAAAUCCUGUGACUACAGAAGUUUCUACUUAUAAGAAAAAUGCUCAACAACUGUCUACUAUGACCAUUAUGGAUGAGCCCCAGAACAACUUUAAUGAGACCGUUAGAUUUUCAAAAUACACAUUUACAAGGAUGAAAAAUUCUCAGAUUCUUUCUCAGUUUAACAGAAGUUGUAUGGCAGGAAGUGUGUCUGAUACCAAAAUUACACAAGGAUCAGAGAAAAAGAAAGCUGUCAGUCCAUUAUUGGGGGAACCAGAUCAACAACAAUCUUUGGUGAAAUAUUCUGAAUCUUUGAGACAAUCUUCAAAAGAGGAAAAUGAGAAAAACAGAAAGUAUUCUCCUGAAGAAAUUCAGAAAAAAAGACAAGAAGCACUGGUUCGAAGAAUGACCAAAGCACAGGCAUCAUCUAAGUCUAACCAGAGGACAUAAGGAAGAUUCCAAGGAACAUAAAGUCUAUAGGGAAGUCUGCAGAAGUGGAAGCAAACACAACCCAAUAUAAAAUGCUAUAAUGGAACCAAUUCAACAGUACUAACUUGGUCUGGUGUUGGAGGGACUGGUAAGGAAUGGUUCUCAGCAGAACUGUCAUCUGAGGUAAGCUUAACUGAAGAAUGAGAAGAAAUUCUCAAAAGAAGAAGGGAGGAAAGUAUGUUCCCAAGUACUCCCCUCACCUGAAAACAUCAAAGAGAUGCAUUUUUAGCAGAAUAUGCCUGACAUGAAGAUCAUGAGGUGUCUGAAGGGCCUAAAUCACAUGUGACUGUGAAGACAGGGACAGGCUCUGGCUCCUGACUCCAGCUUCCUGACAGUACAGAUGCUGGGAGGCAGCAGUGGUGGCUCAAAGAAUUGGGUUCCUGCUUCCUAUGUGGGAGAUCUGAACUGUGUUCCUGGCUCCCAGCUCCAACCUUGGCCCAGGCCAGGCCAUUGAGGGCAUUUGAACACCCCACAAGGCCCUAAGGCAUCCAACACUCACAGCAGCCCAAGAAAGAGAAUCAACCUGCCUUCAGCUGCUGGCUACUCAUGGAAUAACAGAUUAUGAGCACAGCAGGAAGGGAAAGAGUUGCAAAACAGAGGAGCAAGGACUCACAGACCCACCACAGCAAGAGCCUUUCUGGAACUAUGAUGUGCCUGUCCUUAUGCUGACAAGUCAAAUACUAUCACAACUUUGAGCUAACAGUUGGGCCAGUACCACAUGAAGGUUAAGCAAAGAGGUAUAGGGUAUGACUAAUUCCAGAAGAUUCCUGGCUUACCUCAGUCAGUAAAAUAAUCUACAUAAAUAUACUUGCACUUCUGCAUGCUUCAACUUGUGCACUGGAGCUCUUCAAUGAGAAACCUGCUGAAGCUUGUCCCUUGGAUUCUUACUAUUAUGGGCUGCUGACCACUACCAGCUGACACCUUCUGCUGUCUACAGGGCAAUCCAGUUAUCACAGAAAACGGGUUUUCCCCACCAAAACCAGUCAUCCACACAAUGCAUACAUGGACAACUUUGCAGCUGUGAAGAACAGUGUAGAGGCAGAACCUGAAGACAGAAGAGGAAAGUAGAAUGGAUGCUGCAAGUUCUUAGAAAAUGACAAAAAGCAAUAUGCUCUUCAAGCCAUAUGCAAUUUUUCAAUGCUUAUUGAGGAUCAACCAGAGCGUUUGGAAGAAGGGAGAAAAAAAAAAAACACAGGGAGAGAUGCAUGUUUCUGGUGAGAGGAAUAUGAAUGAAAAUUGUGUUGGAACUCAUUCUUCACUGUUCUCAGAGGGAAGUCCAAGUCUGAAGUAUAAGGCAAGGUGGUGAAAAGGAAGAGAAGAGAUCAAAAGAUCACCAAUCAAUUGUCAAUGGGUAUGUAUUAAACGAUGUUCUUGGAGUGUACUAGCUACUGAGUAAAGAAACAACUUGGUAUUUGCACUCAGUCAUGAGCAUAGGACGGUUAUACAGAAUUGUUUGGGUAAUGGGGUAUUCUGAACUGAGUUUUAAAGACGCGUAAGUUUGGAGGAGGUAUGAAAGAAGAAAACAAUCCUACUCUGGAAUCAUGGGACCCAAGGGUUUGCAGAUGUUGAAUCUAAAACCUCUGGAGGAUCGUAACAGGAACCAACCUGCCCAGAGUGGAGAACGGAUUGAGGAGCGAGGGACAAGCGGGGCUGCCUUGAAUCACUGAACACUCUGGGUGAAGAGCUUUUCAAACUCUUCGAGUCUACCAGGAACUGGAGGAAAAACUUGAGCCUUUAAUGAGGAAGCAUUCUGACCUCACUCGUUUUAGAGAUGGGAUCAAUAAAGUAAGACAUGACUCACCCCUUUUGGUAAAUUCACAAAAUUAAAUACAGAUGAAAACUGUCUUUACAUACCCAUUUUAUUCAUUAUACAGACAAAAAUAACGAUCCUAAAAGUAGUAACAGCCAAAUAAUGCAAGGAUUCUGGAGACUUAUGCCACCAGCAUUUCUUUCAAAGGAACAAACUAGUCAUACAGAUACUGUGUGUCUGCACAAACAUUUUUCAAGAGGCAUUUCUACUUUCAAUUCACUUAAAGGGUUCAUGAAAUACAGAUACCCAACUAUGAAAAAAGUACACUAAUCAAACACUGGGAAACUUGGUGGGUCACUAGCUAGUCGCUGGCCUUGUAACAUUCUUUAUCUAUUAAUCUGGUAACAUGAACUAACAUCUCAAGCCUUUUUCCUAUUGCAUUACAAUUACUAGCCAAGUUCUGAUGAGUCAAGAUAAUCGCCUUUCAGUGUGUAACCUAACCUGCUUUGAACCUGUACAUGCACGUAUGGUACCUGUUUUACUGUUUCGCCAAAACCAGGACCACAUCCACAGAAGAAUGGAAACCUAAAGGACAUUUAUCAGAAACGACCAUUCUUCUAUUGUAGUCACUCUUUGUUGAAUGUCACAACCCACAGGCAUUUAGCAAAACAUAAAGAUUUAUCAACCAGUUCCUUUAUUCACGGUAACUUGGGUAUCCUGAUUUUUGCUUUGAUGCCAAGACGUCUUCCUUCAUUACGUUCCAUGGAUGAGUCAUUUGUGCUCUGUCUCCUACACAUGAGUUUUCUUAGGUUUGAGACCUUCUCUCUCCUGUAAAAUAUGAACUGUCAUGGGCUGUGUUCGGUCUAUUUAUCUCUGAAUUACUGCCCCUCACAUUAGAGUUUCCAUCAGUGGAACAGAGGGGCAGAGAUAGCUGUUUGUUUGCCCUGAGGAAACAAAUAUCUGAAGCUGAAAUGUUCUUAACAAACAGAGCUGAAGUUGAGCAAGGAGAGGUGCAGGGACAGUAACUAAGUGAAAUCAAGUGCGGAGCCGUGUAGUAGGUGACAAGCUCAGGCACCAUUGUUGCUGUUUAGCUCACUCGUGGCCCUGUGGCAUGGACUCCUGUCUCCAAAUAAACACAGGGUCAGGAGAAGACGAGAAUGAGAUCUGAUUUACUGAGUCCAACCAGCCCAAGACCCAUUUAGACAACAAUUGCCACUUUAUAGCUUCACCAUCUAAGGAGAUAUUUUUACGUGCAAAAAUGUUGGGUAAAAUAUAACCAAGGAUGCAUGUAAGGAGUGUGAAUAUAUCCUAUCCCACUGGGAAUUUUAAUCAACAUGUCUCCCCAAUUAUUGUUUAAGCUGAAUUUUUAACCAUUCAAAUGACUCAUCCAAUGCUGCUUAUGUACUGACUAGGGCAGUAUUUUUGUCUUUGGUGUUAAGACUUACCCUAAAUUGAAGUAAACCUGGCUAUGGAGAAGGUGCAAUUUAUGUUGCCUGCCACAUUCCGUGGUUGGGCAAGAUUUUCAGUUCAAGUCAUCCUCCCUCACUUCUGUUUCGCCCCAGGGAAAGGAGAUACACACGCAUUCAGUCCUGACAGGGCACCUAUUAUGAAGAUACAAAAGGAACAGCCGGCAAACUCCCUUUCCACUGAGCUUGUGCUACAGAGCUCCUCGUAUUUGCUUAUCUGGGAAGGGGGAAAAGAUCAUUUUAAAGUUAAAUUGCCUAGUGAACCCAUCUAUCAUUUGCAAAAAAGUAAUGAGCUGGAGCCGGAAGCCCAACUCCUCUUUUUCUCCCCCUUUCUCAUGGCUGAGAUGUAAGACAUAAAAAGCCAUUUUUCUCAAUGUGUGAUCAAACAGUGGAUUAAGACUUGCAAGGAGCCGGUGAUCAAUUGUCUGAUAAUAUGUGACAGAUCUUGUCAGAUUGACAAAAGUGUACCCCAACCCAAAGGGAGAGAAGGCUCUGAGCUGUGAAGGUGCUUUCUUAAGCAAUUGCCUGAGAAGCAGAGGCCCCUGUGAUGUCAAUUAUCUUCUGUAUCAACACCAAACAGGAUUUUUGCUGUGGAAGCUGCCAUCAUGGUUUGAUGAGAGUGAGUUAAUACUAAUUAGAUGCAUUUCAGUAAUCACUUAACUUUAAUUGGUUUUGUAUCUUAUUUUUCAAAGGAGGAAGGUAUAGACUUGUCCUAAUAUUUUACCAAAAAAAUGCACCACAAGACAUGAAGAGAAUUCCCCUCCUUUUCCCCCCACAUUCUGACAGGCUAAUAACAACCGCAUUAGGUGAUUAAAGAAUGUUUUUUAAGGUAGACAUAAAGAUAAACAGUAAUGACGUUGAAUAGCUGGGGGGCUCCUUGAUGGAUCCUCCACCUGAUGGCUGGCCCUGGGAUGUGGGCGAAGCUUCCAGCCUUCCUUUGGUUGUAGGAUCCACACGGAGCCUCAGACCCUCUCUGGGGGAGAGAGCGAAGAGGGACAACAAUGAGGAGGCUUUGUUUCCACCUUGCACUGCAGGAUCAAGCUGGCACAUUCAUACUCACUCACCUCUGACCUGCUAAGGAAGCGGCAGGGGUGGUGAGGGUGGAACACAAUUCAAAAUCACCUGGUCUUAUUUUGGGAGGUCAGAGAACAUGUGAGUCAAACUUUGAUUUUUCUUUGUUAUUACUCAGCUCUAAGUUUGGAGAGAAAAGUUUUACUUUUACACAAGGCCAAAGAAAGGACUGAAAUAGGCUUCAAAUUCCUUCCUAAUGCAAAGAGGGAGGGAUCUGCCGACUCAGCAUUUUCUUCCCAUUUCCCUGUAAAAGAAGACCCUGUGCUGAAGCAGUUAUUCCUGUGUAAACAAGCUGUCUUCUCAUCUGGGAGACAUUUACAUUUCGUGUUUUAGAUGCAAUCCCAGAGAAGAGGAGGCUGAGCUUUUAUAUGUGUGUAGAGAAGAGCUGGGGGAAGUGGCAGGGUAGGUGGCUGGAAGAGGAUGUUAACGCCUAAAACUCAACUCGACUGGUCCCUGAAGCUAUAAUCUUAAAUAGAGAAGACACUCUCAUGAUGACUGAGGAACCUCUUCCUCAUCCAUUCCUCAAAUGUACUCUGUAUGUGCUUUUUGGUUAGGUGGUGUUUUUAAUGCUGUUUAUGUACCAGAAGUAUGCCUGGGGACUCAGGAAUGAUCCAGGCAUUGUCCCUGACUCCAUAGAGUUUGAAAUUGUAGCACCUUAGGGAUUACAUAGCCCAACAUUUAUCCAACUAAACUCCAGAGAGCUAACUGGGGGCCUUUUUUUGGGUAGGAUAAUGCUCUAACCCAUCUUCAUCAUCCCUCCUCUUCCACACAGGUCCUUUAUCCUAUUAGGCCCUAUAAGACUUGCUCGGGAAAAUAAAGUUCAUGCUAAACAAGAAAUAAUGAAAGAACCAGAGUGCAUUCCCUUUAUUUUAUGUAAAGAAAAUUAGAUUCUUGAGCCUCAGAAGCGUCCAUGACAUCUUUGGUGGCAGCCUGGAGAGUCCAGCAGGUCUGCUGUCAGGUUGCCAUGCAGGUUCCACUCCGAGGUCAGUGGCUGCCUCCCCUCUGCCAUGUGCUUUCCAGGAUGGAGGAGCCUUUUCAUCUAGGGGGUAACAAAGGCUUGUGGGCAGGGGCUACUUAGCAUAAAAUCCCUCUGGAGAGAACCGGAGGUUGCACUCUUGCUGUGUUUGCUGAUUAGAGCUUUAGAGAUGGCCUGUUUUUUCACCAGAGAUUUUUGGUAUGUAAGAGGGUGUCUUAUUCCUGAUUGUCAGAAAUGUUUGGGAGCGCCUCUGUAGACUCUGAUAGUAUGUGUUGGCGCUAUGAAGGAAGUAAAUUCUUAUUACCAUAAAAGUCUAUUGAUUUCCCCCAAUUUAUACAAUUUUUUCUUGAACCAAGUUUUCUAGAUUCCAGCAAUGAUCAGAGCCAAUAGGAGAGUGGCAGCCAAAAUUACAGCAAAAACUGAUCCAGUAGAACGGGAAUGAGAAAAAAAGAUGUGUGAAGAGGUGGAUAAGCAAGAAAUCAGAACUUGCUUGAUCCGGUGCUGACACCCUGUUUGCAGAGAAUGAACAGGGAUCAAGACACACGCAAAGCCAGAUCCCUGCAGGGACCGGACAGCACACUGCUUUCCCACUGCUGUGGACACUGGGCUUACAACGGGGAAGCUCCGAGUAAGAGAGUGGGGACGUCUUGGUUUAUCUGGUUGGAGAACUGAAGUCAUGACUCCUGGACAUUCUCUAACCACGUCAGCCACUGCAGCCAGACCAUGCCAUUCCAACCCACUCCUUUGCAGGCAGCCAAGUGUCAAGGCUAAGCCCCCACUACCCAUUUAUAACAUUAACUGCUUUUCUCUUAGAAAACGUGCAAGUGUGACAGCCCUUCUUGUGUCUACUCUAGAAUCAAAAAGGUUAAUUCUGAACAUAAACAGCACAACCUAAGAUGUUACUUUAGUGGGAACCUGGGAGAAAGAGGAGGAGCUUGUGAUACAGUGAAGUAAGUACAGGACACUGAAAAGAGGAAGGAGAUGCUUCUCAUAGCGUCUGGGACACUGUCACUACCCAGUUAGCAUUUAUUAAUGAAUGCCGAGCUGGAGGGGUCAGUCAUCAACCAGCUACGUCUGGAGUAACUGGUCUUCAAUCUUAUAUUUGAACAUCUUAUUAAGUUUCUCUGAAGGAAGAAGUAACCCUGGUAUAUGUCCAGAGUCUAAGGUAUGGGUAGAGAGGUAGAGAAAUAUGAGAGGUUGAAAUCCAGUUGGUGUGGACACUUCUCACGUUGUUUCUGUUCUCCUUUAUGUGUAUACCCUAUUCAGAAACUUGGCAGAAAGGGAUGCGUGGAUAGUUUUUAAAAGGAGAAGUCACAGGAGCCAGCAUUGUGGUAUAGCAGGUAAAGCUGCUGCCCGUGACCCUGGUGUUCCAUAUUGCGCCAGUGUGUGUCCCUGUGAGCUCCCUGCUAAUGGCCUGGGGAAAGCAGUGGAGGAUGGCCCAAGUACCUGGGCCCCUGCACCCACAUGGAAAGAAACUUGUGGUUGCUGGCUUUGGCCUGUCCAGGUUCAGGCUGUUCAUCCAUCUGGGGAGUGAACCAGUGAAUGGAAGAUCUCUCUCUCUCUCUCUGUCUCUGUCUCUUCUCUCUCUGUAACUCUAAUUUUCAAAUAAAUAAAUCAAUCUUUAUUCAAAAAAUAAAUGAUUAAAACAUGAACACGCUGAGUAUGAUCAGACUGAAAUAAAUAAGCAGUAGCCAGAAUUUCAACACAAAGGAUAAAGAACUUGGUAUUGAAUGUUUGCCAUCUUCCCAAUGUAAACUUGCAACAAGCAAGAUCAAGUAAGAGUCUGAGUUUAACAGAAAAGAGGAUUUGAUUUGUAAUUCAAUCACUUUCCUGAGAACUAAUAAGGGAAGUCACAAAGGGUCAGAGGUGAGCUCCGUCCCUGGCCGCAAGGAGGCUACAGCUGAAGUGGAAGGAGAACAGCCAGGUCAUUUCUUUAAUUUGGCAAGGAGGGGCAGACUUCAGCGAUUGUAAACAAAACUGGAGAACCGUCACAUCUGGACACUGAUAUUUCCUGCCAGAAGUAAAAAUCUAGAAGGUUCACUGAUGCACUUCCUUUGAAACAGCUCUUUCCACUUCCACAGCAAGGAAGCAGCCUCGCUGGAGAUUUCCAAAGGAAGCUCUUUCAGCUUCCAGGGGUUUCAGUGUAAGAAAUAGUCUUAGGACUGCUCACCAACUGACUCAAUGUUCUUUCAGGGGCAGUGAGUAAGAGAUCUUGAGCAAUACGUUAGCACAUUCAAAAUUGGUGGCUGCACAGUCACAAGAAGCCAUAACUCACAGUGUCUCCUCCUUGAGGCCUUUCUCUUCAGGAAUUUGCCUCAGUUAAAUUCAGGAAGCGUUUUAUCUUACACCUGGAGCACCAGAAGAUGUGUUCUAUCUGCUCUUGGGAAACUUUCAGAGAGCCACUAUUGUUCCAAGAUUAGGGCCAGACCCAUUCGCACUCAUAAACUCAUGUUUGAUCUUUACAAAAGCCAUGUAAGUCAAGGAACCCCACUUAAUAGAAACAGAAACUUAGGUUAGAUAACUUGCUCAUGGUCAGAGAGUUGUUAUGUUACAGAAAUGGAAUUCAGAGUUAGGGUUUCUGGUUUAAAACCAAGGUCCCUACCAGUAGACUUUGUUACGUUUCAAUGUUAUAAAACUCUUGGUUUUAAAAAAAAGCAUUAUGAGAAACACAAAAUUUACUCAACUUUAGCUUUAGUUAUUGUCAUAAAGUUUGAUAAUGUGAAAUGAUUAUUGUUCAAGAAUUCUAAUUCAGCAAAACUACAAUUGGAGAGGUAAAAUAUUUCUCUGGAAAAAAUGCUUGUGUAUUCUUUGGCAAGUGUCAAAACAUCAUAGAAAAGGAGCCUUGAUCACUUUGCAGGAUUCCUGUAGAAUCAGAAUAUUCUGAGGGCUAUUUGCCAGUCAGUGUUAAACCACAGCAUCAUUGCAGAACCCAUGGAAACAAGUCAUGAGUAGUGAAUAACCAUUAAUAGGGAAUUUCUUUUUAGGUUUGCAAGAAUAUUUUCUCCAAUAGUGAGAGGUAACUGUAAAAAUGGAAGGAGGUGCCACAAAAGAUCAGUACAACCCCUAAACAAAAACAAUAAUAAAGAAAAUAGAUGUAUUAACCCACAGCUCUGCAACUUAAAACCUGCAACACUAAAGGCCAGUCAUGCCCAAUUUUCUGCAACAAAUAUUUUGAGCUAAAAAUCUAACCCCAUGUGUUUAAAAUACUGUGGUCAUAGAAAGAGAUUUAUAUGUAUAAAUUCC
Molecule: non-coding RNA, 11294 nt
Organism: Oryctolagus cuniculus (rabbit)
Lineage: Eukaryota; Metazoa; Chordata; Mammalia; Lagomorpha; Leporidae
Source: RefSeq, a predicted model, not a curated record